GAGGUCCUUGCAAUGGCCCUUAUGUGCCCCCACAGCCUUGUUAGGAACAGGAGGAGAACCUCGUCCUAACAUGAGCAAAGUCGAAGGCCCGAUUACUUAAAGACUGGAUGGGGGGAGAGGCCCUUGCAACGGCCCUUUUGUGCCCCCACAGCCAUGUUAGGAACAGGAGGAGAACCUCGUCCUAACAUGAGCAAAGUCGAAG
This 202-nucleotide long non-coding RNA is filed under the name Elaeis guineensis (African oil palm). RNAcentral's name for it is "long non-coding RNA (EGUI_LNC019831)". The record is from RNAcentral. Lineage: Eukaryota; Viridiplantae; Streptophyta; Magnoliopsida; Arecales; Arecaceae.